RNAcentral lists this ribosomal RNA (425 nucleotides) under uncultured bacterium. RNAcentral's name for it is "partial 16S ribosomal RNA". It matches the Rfam family "Bacterial small subunit ribosomal RNA", at positions 354 to 796 of the family's 1533-position model. The record is from RNAcentral.
GUGGGGAAUAUUGGACAAUGGGGGCAACCCUGAUCCAGCCAUGCCGCGUGAAUGAUGAAGGCCUUCGGGUUGUAAAGUUCUUUUGGAGGGGACGAUGAUGACGGUACCCUCAGAAUAAGCUCCGGCUAACUUCGUGCCAGCAGCCGCGGUAAUACGAAGGGAGCUAGCGUUGUUCGGAAUUACUGGGCGUAAAGGGCGCGUAGGCGGUUUGGUUAGUCAGAUGUGAAAGCCCAGGGCUUAACCCUGGAACUGCGUUUGAUACUGCCAAGCUUGAAUUCGGGAGAGGUGGGUGGAAUUCCCAGUGUAGAGGUGAAAUUCGUAGAUAUUCGGAGGAACACCAGUGGCGAAGGCGGCUCACUGGCUCGAUACUGACGCUGAGGUGCGAAAGCGUGGGGAGCAAACAGGAUUAGAAACCCCAGUAGUCC